AAGGUAGCGUAAUCACUUGUCUCCUAAAUAGAGACCUGUAUGAAUGGCCUCAUGAGAAAGAAACUGUCUCUUGAAGAUAGCCAAUGAAACUGAUCUGCCUGUGCAAAAGCAGUCAUAACAAAACAAGACAAAAAGACCCUGUGAAACUUGAAAAUAAAUGUCAAAAGCAUUACAGUACUUUUUCGGUUGGGGCAACCAAAGAGAAACAAAACCUCUUUAAAAUACUAGAAUAACAAGUCUAAUUUAAUAAACGACCCAGUAAAACUGAUCAACGGACCAAGCUACUCCAGGGAUAACAGCGCUAAAUUCUUGAAGAGUCCACAUCAACAAGAACUAUUACGACCUCGAUGUUGGAUCAGGAUACCCAAGCAGUGCAAAAGCCGCCAACGGUUCGUUUGUUCA
RNAcentral lists this ribosomal RNA (402 nucleotides) under Agama hispida. Its description in RNAcentral is "Tropidurus hispidus partial 16S ribosomal RNA". It matches the Rfam family "Bacterial large subunit ribosomal RNA", at positions 1953 to 2583 of the family's 2925-position model. Lineage: Eukaryota; Metazoa; Chordata; Lepidosauria; Squamata; Agamidae. The record is from RNAcentral.